UCCCGGCUAGCGCAAUCGGUCAGAGCGUCAGACUUUUAUGCAUACGUGUGGAAUCUGAAGGCUACGAGUUCGACUCUCGUGUCGGGAG
Calocera cornea HHB12733 is the source of this 88-nucleotide transfer RNA. It matches the Rfam family "tRNA". Rfam says of the family: Transfer RNA (tRNA) molecules are approximately 80 nucleotides in length. The record is from Rfam. NCBI's taxonomy places the organism in Eukaryota, Fungi, Basidiomycota, Dacrymycetes, Dacrymycetales, Dacrymycetaceae.